RNAcentral lists this long non-coding RNA (1932 nucleotides) under Panax ginseng (ginseng). RNAcentral describes it as "long non-coding RNA (PGIN_LNC004659)". The record is from RNAcentral. Lineage: Eukaryota; Viridiplantae; Streptophyta; Magnoliopsida; Apiales; Araliaceae.
GGUGGCUUACUUUAAUCCAUGGUUAGAAUGACUAAGCUAAAAUACAUGCCUGAGUUGUCAUGGUUUUAGAUCAUUAGAAAGCUACGAAGUGUAUAUUUUAUCUGAUAACUAAAAGGAAUCAAAUAAGAGUUGUUUUCCCUGCCAUUUUCAUUCCUUAGUUUACCCGUCCCAUCCGGUCCAAACUAAUUCCAUGUCUCUCUAAAGUCUUCUUAGUUCGGCUGAAUUUUUUUUUCCAAGGAGUUGAAGUUGCAAGCUAAAUUGAAAGAUAUUAUCGGCAUCAAAACAAUAUUUAAGCAUCAUUACUCUUAGAAACUUCAGCAAACAAAGGUAAGCUAUGAGUUUUUGUUGAGUUCAUAGAAAUUAGUUAGAAUAUGCUUUGUAUUGUUAGAAUUGCUGUGUUGAUUUUGAGGAACUGUUGUGAUUGGGUUGUGUAUUGUUAAGGAGGUUUUAUUGUAGAUCAUAUGGAGUUAUAAAGGAGAAAAUUUUGGGCUUAACCAUCUCAAAAAUGUUUGUGAAUUCUGUUUUUAUAAAAGAUGCACAUAUGGUGUUUGUAAAAAUUCCUAUUAGAGGUUGUCAAGCAUUAAUAGAAGAAUUUAGUUAAGCUUGAGAUCAAAGUAGUCUUUAUGCAUGUUAUGUGAAGUGAUUAAAGUUGUUUGGGUGAACCAAGUUGGGUUAAAAACUUGUUUUGGGAUGAAGAAACUUUACCAACUGUGUAAAUCUUAGCAGUCUGAGGAUUUGAUAGCCAGGGUCUAUCCGCAGCUUAACAAAAUCUUUUUUUUAUUACUUUCCUAUUAGAAUCUGUUUACAGAUCAAUUGUUAUUGUUCUUUCUCUGUUUGGGCAUAAACUUGCCAUAUAUUUAUAUUGGUGCUCUGUGUUUCAUUAUUGUUAUGCUAUGAAUAAUUUUGAUAAUGAAGCUCUUAGUUGUUUAAUUAUUUUCCUUCUUGUAUAUUGCCUUUUAUCCAUGGUUGUUCAUGUGCAGAUGUGUGCUAAUGUAGUUGUAUUGCUUAAAGUUUCCAUUCUUUUAUUACUCAGGCUAUUCUUAAUUUUUUUUCCCUCGAUUGUGGAGAAGUUGUUCACCACGAUGCUGAUCCUAGUCUGAGGGCAUUUCUUUCGUUUGUGCUUGAGUCGGUAAGAUAUGUCCAAACAAUAAUCUGUAGUCAGUUUCUUAUUGACAUCUUGUUUAAUAGUUACUUCUUGGUUACAAUAGUUUGUAGUCAAAACAAAACAAAAUAUAUAGUGCAUUUGAGUUGGGAAAAAGUCUGAAUAAAGUGUUUACUCUUGUGGCAUGUAUAUAAAUUAAAGUUACACCAGUGGGUGAACUGUUCUUGGACUUUCUUCUUUAAAAGCAAGAUAUUUUCCUUGACUCUAAAGGGCCACUGAUGAAAUUUGAAGAUAUGCACUUAAUAUUUGUAAGCAAUGAAGUAUUUUUGGUCAUCCAAUGCCUCAUUUUGGUCAUGCUUCUAUAUUCAAAGGCAAAGGUUCCUUCAAAAAUUUAAAUCAAGUCUUUUGUAUGGUUUUUUAACCUUUUUUUCCAGUUUAACACUAGUGACAUGUGUCAAGAUAUAGGUCGUACAAAUCUGUCUCCGAAUGUGUGUUAAUGUGUAUGCAGGAAAAUCUUUGUGGUUGUGGUUCUCGCUGUUGCUGCUAUGUCGUGCAGCUGCUGUUGGUUUUGUCUUGCUGAUGGUGCGGCUGUUGGUUUGCUUCAAUUCAUGGACCGUCUUGGUUUUGGGCUGUUGGGUCAUGUUUGGGCUGUUAGUGACGCACUAUUAUCUUGUCAUAUAAAAUUAGUAUUUGUGACAAUAAAAAUUGUCAUAAUUUAUUAAUUUUUCGUCUUUACAAAAUUUGCCUCCAAAAUUUCUUAUAAUUUUUUGCCUCCAAAUAAAAUUGUGAUGAUAUUACGUACUUUGUCACUUUAUAUAAGAAUUUAUGAC